This 451-nucleotide ribosomal RNA is filed under the name Granulicatella adiacens. RNAcentral's name for it is "bacterial SSU rRNA". It matches the Rfam family "Bacterial small subunit ribosomal RNA", at positions 28 to 467 of the family's 1533-position model. The record is from RNAcentral. Lineage: Bacteria; Bacillati; Bacillota; Bacilli; Lactobacillales; Carnobacteriaceae.
GACGAACGCGGGCGGCGUGCCUAAUACAUGCAAGUCGAACGAGAGCGACCGGCGCUUGCACUGGUCAAUCUAGUGGCGAACGGGUGAGUAACACGUGGGUAACCUGCCCAUCAGAGGGGGAUAACAUCCGGAAACGGAUGCUAAAACCACAUAGGUCUUCGAACCGCAUGGUUUGAAGAGGAAAAGAGGCGCAAGCUUCUGCUGAUGGAUGGACCCGCGGUGCAUUAGCUACUUGGUGAGGUAACGGCUCACCAAGGCCGUGAUGCAUAGCCGACCUGAGAGGGUGAUCGGCCACAUUGGGACUGAGACACGGCCCAAACUCCUACGGGAGGCAGCAGUAGGGAAUCUUCCGCAAUGGACGCAAGUCUGACGAAGCAACGCCGCGUGAGUGAAGAAGGUUUCGGAUCGUAAAACUCUGUUGUUAGAGAAGAACAAAGUGCUAGAGUAAACU